AUUAUUCUGCCUUCUCAAUAACUAUCAAAGCCUAUUCACAUUUAAUUUGGCUUUCACAGAAAUCCUACCUCUCCUUCUGGCUACAGAGUACUUACCAAGCCCAUGAAAUCGAAUGCAGAUCUUCCUAAUGUGAGAUUUACAUAAAUAUGUCAAAGUCUCAACCUCAUGCUGCCCUCCC
Molecule: non-coding RNA, 178 nt
Organism: Maylandia zebra (zebra mbuna)
Lineage: Eukaryota; Metazoa; Chordata; Actinopteri; Cichliformes; Cichlidae
Source: RefSeq, a predicted model, not a curated record